RNAcentral lists this unclassified non-coding RNA (145 nucleotides) under soil metagenome. RNAcentral's name for it is "partial internal transcribed spacer 1". The record is from RNAcentral.
CCGAGUUUACAACUCCCAAACCCCUGUGAACAUACCACUUGUUGCCUCGGCGGAUCAGCCCGCUCCCGGUAAAACGGGACGGCCCGCCAGAGGACCCCUAAACUCUGUUUCUAUAUGUAACUUCUGAGUAAACCAUAAUAAAUCA